Molecule: ribosomal RNA, 500 nt
Filed under: uncultured bacterium
Lineage: Bacteria
Description: partial 16S ribosomal RNA
Rfam family: Bacterial small subunit ribosomal RNA
Source: RNAcentral
AUUGAACGCUGGCGGCAGGCCUAACACAUGCAAGUCGAGCGGAUGACGGGAGCUUGCUCCUUGAUUCAGCGGCGGACGGGUGAGUAAUGCCUAGGAAUCUGCCUGGUAGUGGGGGACAACGUUUCGAAAGGAACGCUAAUACCGCAUACGUCCUACGGGAGAAAGCAGGGGACCUUCGGGCCUUGCGCUAUCAGAUGAGCCUAGGUCGGAUUAGCUAGUUGGUGGGGGAAUGGCUCACCAAGGCGACGAUCCGUAACUGGUCUGAGAGGAUGAUCAGUCACACUGGAACUGAGACACGGUCCAGACUACUACGGGAGGCAGCAGUGGGGAAUAUUGGACAAUGGGCGAAAGCCUGAUCCAGCCAUGCCGCGUGUGUGAAGAAGGUCUUCGGAUUGUAAAGCACUUUAAGUUGGGAGGAAGGGCAGUAAGUUAAUACCUUGCUGUUUUGACGUUACCGACAGAAUAAGCACCGGCUAACUCUGUGCCAGCCGCCGCCGUAA